RNAcentral lists this ribosomal RNA (468 nucleotides) under uncultured bacterium. RNAcentral describes it as "partial 16S ribosomal RNA". It matches the Rfam family "Bacterial small subunit ribosomal RNA", at positions 28 to 507 of the family's 1533-position model. The record is from RNAcentral.
GACGAACGCUGGCGGCGUGCUUAACACAUGCAAGUCGAACGGAAAUGCCCUGCUUUUUUGGGGUGCUGUCAUGGCGGAAGGGUGGAGUACCAGGUAGUUACCUGCCCUCGACUUUGGGGUAACCUCAGGGAACGGGGGGCAAUUACGGGUAGUACUUGCUGUGGCGUGGGGGGGGGCGGAGAGUGUCGGGGGUUGGGGGUGGACUGGCGGCGGAUGAGCUUGUGGGUGGGGUGUUGGCUUACCAAGGCUUGGCCGGGUAGCCGGCCUGAGAGGGUGACCGGUCACAUUGGGACUGAGGUACGGGCCAGAAUCCUACGGGAGGCAGCAGUGGGGAAUAGUGCACAGUGGGCGGGAGCCUGAUGCAGCAACGCCGCGUGCGGGAUGACGGCCUUCGGGUGGUAAACCGCUUUCUGCUGUUACGAAGCGUGAGUGACGGUAACGGGUAAAGAAGCACCGGCUAACUACGUG